This is a long non-coding RNA of Dromaius novaehollandiae (emu), 3674 nucleotides long. RefSeq lists it as uncharacterized. The record is from RefSeq and is a predicted model, not a curated record. NCBI's taxonomy places the organism in Eukaryota, Metazoa, Chordata, Aves, Casuariiformes, Dromaiidae. The transcript is spliced from 5 exons.
CUCGCACCACGCGGCGGCUCGGGACGUCCUGUGGCUCCAGCAGCAGACGGGCUUCGACAGCCUUCCCCUGGGGCUAGGAGAGGGAUGAGGCUCCACAACCCCUGUGCAUGACUGGGAGCUGCUCCUGCCACGCUGUCCAAGCAGGACACUGUGCGGAGGGGUGCAGCUGUGGCCGAGGGAGUGUGCACAGUGCUCCUGUGGCCUUCGGGUUUUCUGUGCGACUGUGCUGUUUCCCCUUUUCUUCACCACCAAACCGUAAAUCAUAUUUCCCUGGCAUUUCUCAGAAGAGAUCAUGCAGAGGACCAUUUUGUGGCCAAUUGCUUGAGCCAGACACGAAUGCCGCCAACUCCCUUCAGAAAAGUGCCAUAGUUUCUUCAGUGCUACGGCUGGUCUCCCAUAACCAAAAUCCCAGGGAACCCAGCCCGUUUCCCAACUAAACUUUAAGACUUCAGUCUGGAUGCUAAGGAAAGAUGGGUUUGCAGCAGAGACUUGUGCCUGCCACUGGUGUUCUGCGAAUCCAGUCUCACAUUUCCUGCUCAGUGUCCUUCUCCAAAUCUGCCCCCUGGAGACCCUGGCCUCAGCUACCGUAAAAUAAUGGCAAGCAAAAGCCUGUUAGGAAGGAGCAGGACUUUGGAUACUCCUGAAUUAUGCUGGAACAGAUGCCUGAUCUUGAAGCCUGUGCUUGGAUUGUUCUGCAGGGUCUUGAAUGUCUGCAGCAUCAAUCCUGAAGAAAGGAAACCAUCAGCUUAUUUCUUACAAACCACUGAAUAACGACGGCAUUCGCCCAAUAUUUUUCUGCUGGUGGAAACCAAAUCUGAGCAAUUUAGAAAUGGCAAGAUUGUUUAGUGCCACUCCCUUUAGGCACCCUCCAGUAACACACCCUUCUUCUCUAUUUGCUUUCUUAUGGUGGGAGUAAGACAGAAACACCCCACAAGGUGUAGUGCUUUCCCUUCAAAAACGCAAGAGGAUCAGGUAAAAGGACAGAAAACGGUCAAUUUGGGACUGGCCUGCCCUCCUUCCAAAGAAAUGCAGCUUGACUUCCAGCUGACCUUCAAGCUUUUACAAGCUCAAAGAGAGAGAGUUACAGAAUUGUUAACAGCUAUUUUAUUACACUUACAGAUUGUGUGAGUUGCAUUUUAUUGGAACGCAGCACUUGGCAGUUUUUGCAUUUGGCUGUAACAUGAAGUUUAAGGGCUGUGGUUAUUCUGACAUGUUAACCCCCUGGUUCCAGGAUUUCCCACUGUGUUAAACUAAUGAAAAUGUUUGGGCACAGCUGCAACCUGUUUCAUUAGAGAGGUGCCAUGCUGAAAAAUUGUGACGUGAGCCUGGUAGUUGCUGACCAAGAGAAAAAAUACCAUGAUGUUGAGGAGAUCUAGGCACAGAGGAAUGUGCUUAGAUCAAAAAGUGCUAUAUAUUAGUGCCAUAGCUUAUUGCUCAGCUUCAAGGCGAUGCGAUGCUGUUCAGGACCUUGCAGGAUCAGGCACCAAAGCCAAUUUCUUCCAAACUUUUUUUGAAUGAAAGCUCUACUCAGAGCUACACCACCUUAGAGAGAGAACCUCUCCUUCCCUUUUCUUCUGUAAGCUUCAUUUUGCAAUCAGCCUGAUUUAUUUCAUUUUUCUUUAAUUGAUGCUGCACUGAUAAUGUACACAAUAAUGCCUUAAAUAGUGGUAAAACGCCCUUGCCAAAGGCAUUCAGUAGAGUAACAUUUGAAUUCUUGUGGCAAAAUGUGGAAGUGCUCAGGCUUUGCAAGGGUGAGGCCAUGGGUCCUGCUCAUACUUGCUGAAGAUGAUUUUUAAGUGCAAUGUUAGUGAGAAAUGGAAACUGCAGGCCAAGUGACUCCCAGUAAUUUUCAUGAAGCGCCUCAACUCAUACAGGAGAGCAGUUAUGUGAGGAUUCCUUGUUUUUUGAAGAAAGGCUAAUUUGUGCAUUUGAAAGUGUUUUUGGUUAAUAUCAACACUAGGUAGAAUGAGGGACUGUACCCUUGGACCUUGCUGAGACAGCUCUGUUCUCUUGGACGUUGUUGUUCAAGUUCAGUACUGCUCUUUGUUUUCUGACAUCAACUCUCCUCUGUAUUUCCAUCUAAAUGUUCUUACAGGCCUGCAUAAACUUGUUUUCUUUCAGGCCUUAGCAAUCUGAGAGGCGCAAAAUUCACACGAGACGAUGGGAGUGCUGUACUGUAAUUGCCUGCUCUCUUUGCGCUGUUCACUGUCUGGUUUUAUGUCUACCUAUCUUCACAAAGGAAGAGGCCCUGGCAGCUCCCACAAGAGCUGCUUGGUAGUAAGUACUGGGCAAUGUCUUCACAACAUCCACGUUGGAGCUCAUGAGAGAGGAAGAAGGCAAUGUUGAUCUUGUAACAAAAGCGACCAGAUGAGAUGAGGCGAGUUUGGUGUGACUGCUUCUAGGGACCACUGCACUCUUUCAUCCUUGAGGAAAGCUUUCCUACCACGAGUGACAUUCACAGUGCAAAGAUCUGCUUGUAUUCUCAGCUGCUUGCCAUUUGUCAGGGCAGCAACCUUUUAAUCGUUUUCCCCAAUCUGUCUCCUAACGGCAGGGGAGAAUAACCCCAACCUUACCUGAAACAGAAAGCUGGCACUGAAAGAAAAGGAGUCCAAGAGCUGUGGGCAGUCCUAGAGCCCUGCUGUGGCCAAGUGUGUCCGUGCUGAAAGGAGAGUCUCCCGGCCAUCUGUGUUGCACCAGUUAGCUACAGAAAGCCUCCAGAAAUUUUAUCAUACAGAUCUUCUCAACAUAUUUCUCUGGUGGCAGAAAAUGAAGAAGAAAAAAAAAGAAAAAGGCAUGAGGGUAGCGACAUAGAAUAUUUGUCCAGUAGUAAGCCAGGUGAGAAGCAAUUGUUUGAUAGUAAAUUACUGAAUGUAAGUGCUCAAAUAUAGAGUGCUAUGCUAACUCCUAGGGAGCGGAGAAAAGAGAAUCAACAGCGCGGUGCCUCAGAGGAAGGCUCACCCAGCAGAAAGCACAGUCUUACGGCCGCAGCGGAUACGUCUUCCAGCAGGCUCCGACAUCUUCAUGACUAACCUUCUCCUCUCCUUCUGCCCUAUUUCAGUGACUCCUUCACUGUCCUAUGGUGCUCUCCUUUUGCUUUAAUACCUCUCUCGUGAUACAAAAAAGUAAUCUAGUUCAAGCAAGACGACUUGGGGUGCCUCCCUGCCAUGCCCUGUGUGGAAAGGGGUGCGCGCAGAGCUGCAGGCUGGAGAGGCUGACUAAUCCUGUGUGAGGCCUCUGCGGGCCAAAUCAAGUGAUGCCUCAUGCUACUGGAGAUAGAAAUAUUUCAAUUGGCAUUUGCAUCAUGGAUCAGCUGAUGUUGUUUUAACCUGAGGGUCUCAGGAAGGGCAAAUGGAUUAGGUCAAAUAAAACAGUUCUGGCUGGUUGUCACACAGGAGGCAGAACUGAUGCCUGUCUUUCCCUUCCGACUCCCGUGCUCCAAAAGGGGCAGCACGGCUGCAGGGCACGAGAGGGCUCCAACACCAGCGUCCUCUUUCUUGUGGCUUGUAGCUUGAGCCCAGUUUUAUUUAUGGGAAUGCAAUCCAGAUAAAUAUUCUUUACAUUUAUUUAGAAAUGUGAGCAUCCAGGGCUAACAACAGGGAUGCCAAUUAAUGCAGAUUGUUGUGCCUGAUUUUUGCCACGCUAAUAGCUGGCCACUAAGUGUUCAGCAGCAGUGU